RNAcentral lists this transfer RNA (74 nucleotides) under Candidatus Blackburnbacteria bacterium RIFCSPHIGHO2_01_FULL_44_64. RNAcentral describes it as "tRNA-Cys". It matches the Rfam family "tRNA". Rfam says of the family: Transfer RNA (tRNA) molecules are approximately 80 nucleotides in length. Their secondary structure includes four short double-helical elements and three loops (D, anti-codon, and T loops). Further hydrogen bonds mediate the characteristic L-shaped molecular structure. tRNAs have two regions of fundamental functional importance: the anti-codon, which is responsible for specific mRNA codon recognition, and the 3' end, to which the tRNAs corresponding amino acid is attached (by aminoacyl-tRNA synthetases). tRNAs cope with the degeneracy of the genetic code in two manners: having more than one tRNA (with a specific anti-codon) for a particular amino acid; and 'wobble' base-pairing, i.e. permitting non-standard base-pairing at the 3rd anti-codon position. RNAcentral also lists the same sequence under 4 other names. Lineage: Bacteria; Candidatus Blackburniibacteriota. The record is from RNAcentral.
GGCGCCGUGGCGAAGUGACCCAACGCGUUCGUCUGCAAAACGAAUAUUCGCGGGUUUAAAUCCCGCCGGCGCCU